GUAACGGGGCUAAACCAUGCACCGAAGCUGCGGCAGCGACACUAUGUGUUGUUGGGUAGGGGAGCGUUCUGUAAGCCUGCGAAGGUGUGCUGUGAGGCAUGCUGGAGGUAUCAGAAGUGCGAAUGCUGACAUAAGUAACGAUAAAGCGGGUGAAAAGCCCGCUCGCCGGAAGACCAAGGGUUCCUGUCCAACGUUAAUCGGGGCAGGGUGAGUCGACCCCUAAGGCGAGGCCGAAAGGCGUAGUCGAUGGGAAACAGGUUAAUAUUCCUGUACUUGGUGUUACUGCGAAGGGGGGACGGAGAAGGCUAUGUUAGCCGGGCGACGGUUGUCCCGGUUUAAGCAUGUAGGCUGGUUAUCCAGGCAAAUCCGGAUAAUCAAGGCUGAGGUGUGAUGACGAGGCACUACGGUGCUGAAGUAACAAAUGCCCUGCUUCCAGGAAAAGCCUCUAAGCAUCAGGUAACAUCAAAUCGUACCCCAAACCGACACAGGUGGUCAGGUAGAGAAUACCAAGGCGCUUGAGAGAACUCGGGUGAAGGAACUAGGCAAAAUGGUGCCGUAACUUCGGGAGAAGGCACGCUGGUGUGUAGGUGAAGUCCCUGCGGAUGGAGCUGAGACCAGUCGAAGAUACCAGCUGGCUGCAACUGUUUAUUAAAAACACAGCACUGUGCAAACACGAAAGUGGACGUAUACGGUGUGACGCCUGCCCGGUGCCGGAAGGUUAAUUGAUGGGGUUAUCCGUAAGGAGAAGCUCUUGAUCGAAGCCCCGGUAAACGGCGGCCGUAACUAUAACGGUCCUAAGGUAGCGAAAUUCCUUGUCGGGUAAGUUCCGACCUGCACGAAUGGCGUAAUGAUGGCCAGGCUGUCUCCACCCGAGACUCAGUGAAAUUGAACUCGCUGUGAAGAUGCAGUGUACCCGCGGCAAGACGGAAAGACCCCGUGAACCUUUACUAUAGCUUGACACUGAACAUUGAGCCUUGAUGUGUAGGAUAGGUGGGAGGCUUUGAAGCGUGGACGCCAGUCUGCGUGGAGCCAACCUUGAAAUACCACCCUUUAAUGUUUGAUGUUCUAACGUUGGCCCCUGACCGGGGUUGCGGACAGUGUCUGGUGGGUAGUUUGACUGGGGCGGUCUCCUCCCAAAGCGUAACGGAGGAGCACGAAGGUUAGCUAAUCCUGGUCGGACAUCAGGAGGUUAGUGCAAUGGCAUAAGCUAGCUUGACUGCGAGCGUGACGGCGCGAGCAGGUGCGAAAGCAGGUCAUAGUGAUCCGGUGGUUCUGAAUGGAAGGGCCAUCGCUCAACGGAUAAAAGGUACUCCGGGGAUAACAGGCUGAUACCGCCCAAGAGUUCAUAUCGACGGCGGUGUUUGGCACCUCGAUGUCGGCUCAUCACAUCCUGGGGCUGAAGUAGGUCCCAAGGGUAUGGCUGUUCGCCAUUUAAAGUGGUACGCGAGCUGGGUUUAGAACGUCGUGAGACAGUUCGGUCCCUAUCUGCCGUGGGCGCUGGAGAAUUGAGGGGGGCUGCUCCUAGUACGAGAGGACCGGAGUGGACGCAUCACUGGUGUUCGGGUUGUCAUGCCAAUGGCACUGCCCGGUAGCUAAAUGCGGAAGAGAUAAGUGCUGAAAGCAUCUAAGCACGAAACUUGCCCCGAGAUGAGUUCUCCCUGAGACUUUAAGUCUCCUGAAGGAACGUUAAAGACGAUGACGUUGAUAGGCCGGGUGUGUAAGCGCAGCGAUGCGUUGAGCUAACCGGUACUAAUGAACCGUGAGGCUUAACCUU
This 1774-nucleotide ribosomal RNA is filed under the name Klebsiella pneumoniae. Its description in RNAcentral is "partial 23S ribosomal RNA". It matches the Rfam family "Bacterial large subunit ribosomal RNA", at positions 1172 to 2925 of the family's 2925-position model. Lineage: Bacteria; Pseudomonadati; Pseudomonadota; Gammaproteobacteria; Enterobacterales; Enterobacteriaceae. The record is from RNAcentral.